This 424-nucleotide ribosomal RNA is filed under the name uncultured bacterium. RNAcentral describes it as "SSU rRNA". It matches the Rfam family "Bacterial small subunit ribosomal RNA", at positions 369 to 808 of the family's 1533-position model. The record is from RNAcentral.
CAAUGGGGGAACCCUGAUGCAGCGACGCCGCGUGAAGGAAGAAGUAUCUCNCNUAUGUAAACUUCUAUCAGCAGGGNAAGAUAGUGACGGUACCUGCACUAAGAAGCCCCGGCUAACUACGUGCCAGCAGCCGCGGUAAAACGUAGGUCACAAGCGUUGUCCGGAAUUACUGGGUGUAAAGGGAGCGCAGGCGGGAGAACAAGUUGGAAGUGAAAUCCAUGGGCUCAACCCAUGAACUGCUUUCAAAACUGUUUUUCUUGAGUAGUGCAGAGGUAGGCGGAAUUCCCGGUGUAGCGGUGGAAUGCGUAGAUAUCGGGAGGAACACCAGUGGCGAAGGCGGCCUACUGGGCACCAACUGACGCUGAGGCUCGAAAGUGUGGGUAGCAAACAGGAUUAGAUACCCUGGUAGUCCAAGGGCGAAUUC